CGCUUCAUCAGGUGAAAAUGGA
RNAcentral lists this microRNA (22 nucleotides) under Ornithorhynchus anatinus (platypus). Its description in RNAcentral is "oan-miR-1392-5p". Lineage: Eukaryota; Metazoa; Chordata; Mammalia; Monotremata; Ornithorhynchidae. The record is from miRBase by way of RNAcentral.